GUAGUCCACGCCAUAAACGAUGAUAACUAGACGUGGGUAUUGGUUGACAAUGUCCGUGUCGCAGCUAACGCGUUAAGUUAUCCGCCUGGGGAGUACGGUCGCAAGACUAAAACUCAAAGGAAUUGACGGGGACCCGCACAAGCGGUGGAUUAUGUGGUUUAAUUCGAAGCAACGCGCAGAACCUUACCUAGGCUUGACAUCCAGAGAAAAGCUACAGAGAUGUAGCCUUAGGAUAUGGCAACAUAUCCUCUCUGAGACAGGUGCUGCAUGGCUGUCGUCAGCUCGUGUUGUGAAAUAUUGGGUUAAGUCCCGCAACGAGCGCAACCCCUAUCUUUAGUUGCCAGCAUUAAGUUGGGCACUCUAGAGAGACUGCCUGCGUUAAGCAGGA
Molecule: ribosomal RNA, 388 nt
Filed under: uncultured bacterium
Lineage: Bacteria
Description: bacterial SSU rRNA
Rfam family: Bacterial small subunit ribosomal RNA
Source: RNAcentral